CCCCGGCUGAUACCCCCACUCCUCAAGUCUUAACUCUUUGCCUGUUGAGAAGAUGCAAAGGCAUCCAGUACCAAAAGCAAUGGAAUCUGUAAGUGGAAAGUGGGGAGAGACAGAAAACUGGAUGAUAAAAUAUAACUUGACACAAGAUUCUACAACAUAAAGAUUCUAA
This is a long non-coding RNA of Lepidothrix coronata (blue-crowned manakin), 169 nucleotides long. RefSeq lists it as uncharacterized. The record is from RefSeq and is a predicted model, not a curated record. The transcript is spliced from 3 exons. Lineage: Eukaryota; Metazoa; Chordata; Aves; Passeriformes; Pipridae.